RNAcentral lists this long non-coding RNA (1460 nucleotides) under Gossypium barbadense (sea-island cotton). RNAcentral describes it as "long non-coding RNA (GBAR_LNC007775)". Lineage: Eukaryota; Viridiplantae; Streptophyta; Magnoliopsida; Malvales; Malvaceae. The record is from RNAcentral.
AUUAUGUCGAUAGCUCUGCCCAAAAAGAUACAUCCAUUGCUAUCCCUUAAACUUCACCCACUGUUUUCUAUCAUCUUCUAGUCUGGUCUCCUUCCCCAACGUUCUUCCGGAAACGAGUUUGGUAGAUUCGGGUCUUCUUGAACUAGGUAAGAGGUUACUUCGCUCGCUAAAGCUUCUUUUGCAAUCUUAUGGGCACACGAGUUUUCUGUUCUGGGAAUAUGUUGGAAUUUUAUUGUUUGAAAAUGAACACUCUUACUUUGAAUGUCCCGUAUGAUUGCUCCUAUUACUGAUUUAUCUGCUUCUGUUGAUUGACACUUUCUGAUUACUGUUCGCGAAUCCCCUUUGAUUUGUACUUCUUGAAAACCCAUUGAAAUCCCUAACUUAAUUGCUUCCAAUCUUGCGUAUGCUUCUGCCGCGAACGGAGAUGAAACAUUAUUGUGAAGGACCGCCUUGGAGGCCAGCAAUUCGUCCCUAAGCCCAAACCACCACUCUAGACACAGAUUUGAAAGUUCUUUUGUCAAACGCCGCGUCAAAGUGCACUUUAAUCUUUGGCAAGACUUACAUAUUUCUGUAUCUUCUAGCCUUAUCUGGGUUUUCCUGCUUUGCUAUCGUCCCCUUAUAACUUAGAAUUUUCUGUGCUAGUUGUCUUCCUGUUAUAGACACCUGCUCAUGUACAAACUGGUUUCUGGAAUACCAAGUUAGCCCUAAAGCAUAACAGAAAAGUCGACUCUGCUCCUCAGACUCUUUCAUGAAUACCCAGGUAAUCUAGUUCCAUAACUCAAAGAUUAAGUUAUUAUUGACCCAAGAGAGAUCUAAAAGAUGCCAAACUUCUAUACUUGUAGGACAGUGUCUGAAUAUGUGAGGGCAAUCCUCAUCCCUUGAGCUACAACGGAGGCAUUGGACGUUCGUGAGUACUUGUAAAUGCCUAAAUUUCAACGAUGUCGAAAAUAGUGGUUUUAGACCAUCAAAUCCGACAAAUGAACUCGUAAAUUAUAUUAUUUAAUAUUUACGAGCCAAAUGUAGUUUUUAAAAUAUUUUUAGAAUAGUAAAUUGUGUUUUAUAAAGAUUUAUUUGGUCAAGAAAUUAAGAAAAAGAGAUAUCGAGAUCUCGAUGUUAUAAACCGAGCUAUAAAUAUUUUUAUAAAUAUUUACGGAAUGUCAAUAAGGUAGUAUUAAAAUUUCGUUAGAAAAUUUUGACGUUUGGGUGGUCAAUUAAAUAAAAAGGAUUAAAUUGGAAAAUGUGUAAAAGUUGCUAAAAGGAUUAAUAGUUCAAUUGUCAAAUGAGGAAGGACUUAAAGUGAAAAUAAGCUCAAAGGAGAUAAUUUGGGCGGCAAUAGCUGAGAAAAAUCAGGAAAUGGGUGAAAUAAGGAUAAAAUUGGAAAAUUAUCAAAAAUAGCUAAAUAAAAAUGGGACUAAAUUGGAAUAUCUAGAAUUCUCUUUAUUUCUCUUCAUAUUCAUCAG